UGGGGAAUUUUGCGCAAUGGGGGCAACCCUGACGCAGCAACGCCGCGUGGAGGAUGAAGGCCUUUGGGUCGUAAACUCCUGUCAGAGGGGAAGAAAUACUCGCAAGAGUGCUGACGGUACCCUCAAAGGAAGCACCGGCUAACUCCGUGCCAGCAGCCGCGGUAAUACGGAGGGUGCAAGCGUUGUUCGGAAUUAUUGGGCGUAAAGAGCAUGUAGGCGGACUGAUAAGUCUGGUGUGAAAGCCCGGGGCUCAACCCCGGAAGUGCAUUGGAUACUGUCAGUCUUGAGUAUGGGAGAGGAAAGCGGAAUUCCGAGUGUAGGAGUGAAAUCCGUAGAUAUUCGGAGGAACACCAGUGGCGAAGGCGGCUUUCUGGACCAAUACUGACGCUGAGAUGCGAAAGCGUGGGGAGCAAACAGGAUUAGAUACCCCCGUAGUCC
Molecule: ribosomal RNA, 438 nt
Filed under: uncultured prokaryote
Description: bacterial SSU rRNA
Rfam family: Bacterial small subunit ribosomal RNA
Source: RNAcentral